AAGAAAGAAAGAAAGAAAGAAAGAAAGAAAGAAAGAAAGAAAGAAAGAAAGAAAGAAAGAAAGAAAGAAAGAAAGAAAGAAAGAAAGAAAGGAAGGAAGGAAGGAAUGAAGAGAAGGAGAGAUAGAAGGAGAGAUAGAAGGAGAGAUAGAAGGAGAGGGAAACAGACUGAAAUGGUGAAAGUGGGAGACAGGAGAUGCAGGAGACAAAGGGACAGAGACAGAAAGGAGAAGGGGAUGAGAAAUGAGACAGACUGAGACAGAGAGGGAGAGUGUGUGUGACAGCUGUGUGUGAACGAGAUGCCCGGAACCAAGGUGCCCGUCACACACCACCAGGGGGGCACUUUCAGUGAGUGCGCCAUGCAGCCAGACUUGGGGGACAGAAAACAAUGCAACACACGUCACUGCAUCAGGACAAAAUCACAACCUUGUCGGGCCGCAAACAUCCCCUCUCUGUAAUGUCAGUGAAAGGACAGUGACGCAGUGUCCCUUCAACUAGAUAAUACUCAAACCCUCCAAUCCUCUAAACACCAGGAUCUAACCUUCCACAAGUCUAGUUUAACUUUUAACCCUUGACCUUGUCAAAGAGGAGGUCCACUACCAUAUGAGCAACUUUGUACAGCUGUAAUUGAGGCAGGUAGACAAACAGUGCUCUGCUCACUGUUCCAUUAAGUUAAUUGAGUUGUUGAGAAACUCGUACUACAAACAAUCUCGUCGACCAUGAUAAAUGGAUGCACAGAACACUGCAUUAGAAUAGACAGCAUUACCAGACGCAUUCUAGAAAAACCACCUAGCUGUUGUAGUGUCUUUCUACAUAUUGUGAAUUGUUCUGUGUAGAACCAUAAUGUAAAUGUCAGCAUGUUGUGGAUGUCAAGUGGAUCUAUAGCUCUGGCUCAGUGGUGGGUUAACAUUUGUCAUUGGACAGAAUGAAUGGAACUGACCUGACCGUAUGGCCAAUCAGAACACAGGAGGUCAAAGGUUAUAAAUGAAUGCACAGGCGUAAUGGUUCCCCCUGAGUUUAAUUUGUGUCUCAGACUCGUUCAGUCCACUAGUUGUUAGAGGUGUCAUUAUCAAAUAAUUCAGUUGGGUUUUUUUCAAAUCAUGGUGCUAAAAUGUAUGACGCCUCCUCUACUUUUAACCAUCUCUCUGUCCUAAUGGCAGAAAGUCAACAACAAAAAAACUGUUUUAGUUUCCAAAAAGCGAGAUCGGUAAUUGGUCUGAUGUCCUUUCCAAAAGCACCAUGUAGGCCAAGCCUUUUACCUCCAGUCAGAACACUGCUACACUAAAACACUGUUUAAAGGGAAUCGCUGCAUUAGGGUUUUUUGGAGCAGACACACAAAUGCAAGCUUGAUGACCGUGUAUUAUUUUACCACACACACACAGACACACACACAGAGGCUUUCCUGAACAAUCAGUGAGAGCUGAAGAGGUGAGCUGAGCACUAAUUCUGUGCUUUAAUCGGGAAUACAUUUCCUUACACGCGCACGCACACACACACACACAGUAGUUCACUGAGAUAGAGGAUGAGUGAGCAGUGGCUUGUUGUGUAGGGCUGGGAUAUACUGGCGCUCUGAACCAAUGGGACUUCCUGAGUUGUAUGAGUGACAGUCACUCUGACCGAACCAAUUUAAGGUUCCUCAGAUCACCAUGGCAAUGGAAUGAUUUAGAUUUAUUUACAAAAAAAUGCCCUUUUCCUGACAUCGUCUGAAAAAGAAUGGAAAUAAACGUGGAAUUUUGCUUUAGGAGCAGCUAUAACAGGAAAGAAAGAAGUCCGAUAUAAUUACAAAGACAAGAAAACAUUUCCAUUGAGGAUCAUGUCAAUAACAAACUGUAUCACAGUAUCCCCUUUCCAAGUCAAAUAAAACAUUUUUUGUUCACAUUUGUAUUUUUUUCCCAGUAUACUAUAUCACACAGUGAUAACAAAGAAAGGAGAAAUCUACAGCCACGUUAGCUUCGUGCAAAAAACACAUACACUGGCACGCCGCAUAGGCAAAGAUUAAAGCAGAAACAAUGCAUACAAAAAUAUAGAAAAUCUCCAAUGCAACUCAACACCUCACUGAAAACUAGCUUUCUGUCUUUGAACAACAAUUUCUCCACCAAACAGCAUCUCUUUCACCAAAUGGUCACUUCUGGAACAUUCUAUUUGUGUUUUUGUCUUUGAAGGCCUAGACCAUUGGCCUUCCAUAUAGGAAACCAUAGAACCAAAAACAGAAUCCGGUAGCUAUAGUAUGUCAUUAUGACGGUUAGUCAUAAUGAUAUUCAGAAUAAUUAUAAUAACAACAACAUGUUGAAUGAUAGAAAACUAGUACAAUAAAAGCAUAUCAAAUACAUAUUUCCUGUCACUUUUAAGACAUUCCAGCAUUUGCUCAUAACUGUUGGUGACAGGUUACAUACGGUAGUUUGGCAUACUCAGCAAGCCAUGCCCAGAAGGAUGCUAGGGGUCGUGCUCCCCUGUUCAGACGUUGCAUGCAUCAUCCAAUGGUUGUGUGCCACAUCAUCGACUGUGCCGUCAGACACCAGAUUGGUGCAGCAUAUGAUGUGGUUAGCUGAUACGUAAAAUAACUAUCCAGAUUUAGGAAGAUCUGGCACGCGUCAGCAACGCCUGGGAAGAGGAACACGGCUUACAUCUCUUGCAAAAGAGAGGAGGGGUUUCAGGUUUCAGGAUGCAGUGGAACCUGUCCACCAAUGGGAUACAUUGUAUCUGGGUGGUGGCGGGGGAAGGGUGGGGUUAUACAGAACAGCCCAAACUGCAAACCGACGUGCUCAAGACCAGGUCAGCACACAAGUUCAGUUCAGCACUUGCAAACACAUGCAAAGAUAUUUCAUAGUUUUAAGAUUCUGUCUUUCUCUGUCUUUUUUAGUUUUUAGCAGUCUCUCGCUUUCUUGUUGUGUGUGGGUGGAGCACUGAACCCCACUGGCCAAUCCAUGGGCUUCUUACUGAAACCACAGACCAAUUGUUGAGCUUCUUAUUGAAGGCUGUGACAGCCAGUCCAGCUGUCCUGCUUCACAUUGAUAGAAAAGAUUGUUUGGACGCCUCAAGACAAAAAUAUAUUGAUACAUAUCAAAUGGUCAGAGGGCAGGCGGGCAGGCGGGUAGGGGAUUGACAUGAUGCUAUAAGGCAAGGACAGAGGGGUUACACAGCAGUAAGAGUUCAAGUCAUGAAAAAAAACAUGCAGACAGGCUUAACAUAUCAGAGGCCAUGUGAGGGACGGAGAGAUGGACAGGUUUAAACAUAUCAGAGGCCAUGUGAGGGACGGAGAGAUGGACAGGUUUAAACAUAUCAGAGGCCAUGUGAGGGACGGAGAGAUGGACAGGUUUUAACAUAUCAGAGGCCAUGUGAGGGACGGAGAGAUGGACAGGUUUUAACAUAUCAGAGGCCAUGUGAGGGACGGAGAGAUGGACAGGUUUAAACAUAUCAGAGGCCAUGUGAGGGACGGAGAGAUGGACAGGUUUUAACAUAUCAGAGGCCAUGUGAGGGACGGAGAGAUGGACAGGUUUAAACAUAUCAGAGGCCAUGUGAGGGACGGAGAGAUGGACAGGUUUAAACAUAUCAGAGGCCAUGUGAGGGACGGAGAGAUGGACAGGUUUAAACAUAUCAGAGGCCAUGUGAGGGACGGAGAGAUGGACAGGUUUAAACAUAUCAGAGGCCAUGUG
Molecule: long non-coding RNA, 3651 nt
Organism: Oncorhynchus tshawytscha (Chinook salmon)
Lineage: Eukaryota; Metazoa; Chordata; Actinopteri; Salmoniformes; Salmonidae
Source: Ensembl